Lycium ferocissimum is the source of this 497-nucleotide long non-coding RNA. RefSeq lists it as uncharacterized. Lineage: Eukaryota; Viridiplantae; Streptophyta; Magnoliopsida; Solanales; Solanaceae. The record is from RefSeq and is a predicted model, not a curated record. The transcript has 2 exons.
AAGGAUAUAUCAGUACACUAACACUCUACCUGCUGGUGGCAGAUCGUAAGUCACCUAUUCCAGCCCCUGCAUCACUUUCUGGUGGAGAAAACUCUUGAAAUAAAAUGAUGUCGUCUGGUCAUUGAAUGACUUUCUAAUCGGCAAACACACUCCUCUUGAAUGGCUUUCUUGUUUAUUGGUGUGCAUCAUUCCUGUCUGAGCUGCAAAGGUUUGUGACUUAUUGGUAUUUAACUGCCUGCUAGUUGACUGCAUAUUACUGUUGAACGGAAACUAUUUAUCUACCCCUUGCAUCUCAACUACAACCACUAUCCUAAGAGAUCUAAAGCUUUUUUUAGGAAAAUGAUAUCCAACCUGCCGGAUCUAAGAGUUCUAAAGUCAUACUCGGUGAUCAAGUCACUAAUUCCUGUCUGUAAAUUUAACAUAUAUUACUUUUGGAUUUUUGUCAUCCAAGAAGUUUUAUUUCUGCUAGUUUUAUUACAUCUUUUUUACUUUUGUCA